Molecule: long non-coding RNA, 616 nt
Filed under: Phasianus colchicus (ring-necked pheasant)
Lineage: Eukaryota; Metazoa; Chordata; Aves; Galliformes; Phasianidae
Description: lncRNA (ENSPCLG00000010990.1)
Source: RNAcentral
AAGUUGAAAUCCUUCAUGAGCAGUUAUACAAUGUACUAAGAAAGGAUGGCUAUAUCCUUGGAUUGUUUCUUGUAAAAAUGCUGAAAUGCACACAGAAAACAGUUUUCUCUAGGAAACAAAAAAUAGAAGAACAGUGCCAUUCCAGUGUUUUGUAAAGUGAGAUCUGAAAAGAGAAAUGCUGGGAAUUAUGAAAACGUUUCAAAAUGAAAAGUUGGAAAUGAAUUUGAACGAAACCUUUUGGCUCACGAAUGGCUCUCAGGUUUCUUGACCCCAUCUUCUCUGCCAGCUAUGCCUGACUGCUGGUAAAUGGCAGCCUGAAAGCCUUGAGGUCCAAGUGGUGAGGCAGAAACAGAUAUAUCAUGAGCAGGAUUGGGGUGUGAACAAAGUGAGCUCCAGCUUUGUUUCCUUUGCCAGCACUGCUGUGUGCAGCCGUUGGGGCUGUACAGAAUGUCUCAGUAUUGCUGUGGGACGAGCAAACAGCAGAAGGUUGAGCCUGCUGCAAGGUGGAGGUGAAGAAAUGCGCAUCCAUCCUUUUUUGCCUUCUUGUUGCAGAACUCACCAACAAGACCAUUCAGGACUGAAUUCAUUUCCAGAUCUCCUUUUGGCAGCUGGAUGA